AGAAGUCCACGACGUCCUCAAAGGCGUCACAGAUCCCUCGAUUAAUUCUUGAAAUACCGUCGUCUGUUGAACGAGGGCUUUCAAUCCGAAUGGUUGUGGCAGUUUAGAAAAAAUAUAUUAUAUUGAAGAAGAGAGAGAAGCUGUAGAUGAUGGAGCAUACCGAAACACUUAUUUGAAGAUACAGAAAUAGAAAUAAUAUAUGAUAGGAUUUGUCUAACUUCUUAUAGAAAUACGACACAGCGGGAUAGAAUUCUCUUUCGACUUUCAGCUGUACUAUUUCAUAGACAUCGAACA
Molecule: long non-coding RNA, 294 nt
Organism: Ceratina calcarata
Lineage: Eukaryota; Metazoa; Arthropoda; Insecta; Hymenoptera; Apidae
Exons: 3
Source: RefSeq, a predicted model, not a curated record